RNAcentral lists this ribosomal RNA (178 nucleotides) under Amphithalea williamsonii. RNAcentral's name for it is "5.8S ribosomal RNA". The stretch from base 8 to 163 matches the Rfam family "5.8S ribosomal RNA". Rfam says of the family: 5.8S ribosomal RNA (5.8S rRNA) is a component of the large subunit of the eukaryotic ribosome. It is transcribed by RNA polymerase I as part of the 45S precursor that also contains 18S and 28S rRNA. Lineage: Eukaryota; Viridiplantae; Streptophyta; Magnoliopsida; Fabales; Fabaceae. The record is from RNAcentral.
UCCAAAAGACUCUCGGCAACGGAUAUCUCGGCUCUUGCAUCGAUGAAGAACGUAGCGAAAUGCGAUACUUGGUGUGAAUUGCAGAAUCCCGUGAACCAUCGAGUCUUUGAACGCAAGUUGCGCCCGAAGCCUUUAGGCCGAGGGCACGCCUGCCUGGGUGUCGCACAUCGUUGCCCCC